AGUCGAACGCGUUGGCCCAAUUGAUUGAUGGUGCUUGCACCUGAUUGAUUUUGGUCGCCAACGAGUGGCGGACGGGUGAGUAACACGUAGGUAACCUGCCCAGAAGCGGGGGACAACAUUUGGAAACAGAUGCUAAUACCGCAUAACAACGUUGUUCGCAUGAACAACGCUUAAAAGAUGGCUUCUCGCUAUCACUUCUGGAUGGACCUGCGGUGCAUUAGCUUGUUGGUGGGGUAAUGGCCUACCAAGGCGAUGAUGCAUAGCCGAGUUGAGAGACUGAUCGGCCACAAUGGGACUGAGACACGGCCCAUACUCCUACGGGAGGCAGCAGUAGGGAAUCUUCCACAAUGGGCGCAAGCCUGAUGGAGCAACACCGCGUGAGUGAAGAAGGGUUUCGGCUCGUAAAGCUCUGUUGUUAAAGAAGAACACGUAUGAGAGUAACUGUUCAUACGUUGACGGUAUUUAACCAGAAAGUCACGGCUAACUACGUGCCAGCAGCCGCGGUAAUACGUAGGUGGCAAGCGUUAUCCGGAUUUAUUGGGCGUAAAGAGAGUGCAGGCGGUUUUCUAAGUCUGAUGUGAAAGCCUUCGGCUUAACCGGAGAAGUGCAUCGGAAACUGGAUAACUUGAGUGCAGAAGAGGGUAGUGGAACUCCAUGUGUAGCGGUGGAAUGCGUAGAUAUAUGGAAGAACACCAGUGGCGAAGGCGGCUACCUGGUCUGCAACUGACGCUGAGACUCGAAAGCAUGGGUAGCGAACAGGAUUAGAUACCCUGGUAGUCCAUGCCGUAAACGAUGAGUGCUAGGUGUUGGAGGGUUUCCGCCCUUCAGUGCCGGAGCUAACGCAUUAAGCACUCCG
RNAcentral lists this ribosomal RNA (856 nucleotides) under Limosilactobacillus fermentum. RNAcentral's name for it is "bacterial SSU rRNA". It matches the Rfam family "Bacterial small subunit ribosomal RNA", at positions 60 to 871 of the family's 1533-position model. Lineage: Bacteria; Bacillati; Bacillota; Bacilli; Lactobacillales; Lactobacillaceae. The record is from RNAcentral.